GGCUCAGAACGAACGCUGGCGGCAGGCUUAACACAUGCAAGUCGAGCGCCUCGCAAGAGGAGCGGCAGACGGGUGAGUAACGCGUGGGAAUCUACCCAUCUCUACGGAACAACUCCGGGAAACUGGAGCUAAUACCGUAUACGUCCUUCGGGAGAAAGAUUUAUCGGAGAUGGAUGAGCCCGCGUUGGAUUAGCUAGUUGGUGGGGUAAUGGCCUACCAAGGCGACGAUCCAUAGCUGGUCUGAGAGGAUGAUCAGCCACAUUGGGACUGAGACACGGCCCAAACUCCUACGGGAGGCAGCAGUGGGGAAUAUUGGACAAUGGGCGAAAGCCUGAUCCAGCCAUGCCGCGUGAGUGAUGAAGGCCCUAGGGUUGUAAAGCUCUUUCAACGG
This 391-nucleotide ribosomal RNA is filed under the name Mesorhizobium sp. R-45976. Its description in RNAcentral is "bacterial SSU rRNA". It matches the Rfam family "Bacterial small subunit ribosomal RNA", at positions 21 to 442 of the family's 1533-position model. Lineage: Bacteria; Pseudomonadati; Pseudomonadota; Alphaproteobacteria; Hyphomicrobiales; Phyllobacteriaceae. The record is from RNAcentral.